RNAcentral lists this ribosomal RNA (253 nucleotides) under uncultured bacterium. RNAcentral's name for it is "partial 16S ribosomal RNA". It matches the Rfam family "Bacterial small subunit ribosomal RNA", at positions 524 to 776 of the family's 1533-position model. The record is from RNAcentral.
UACGAAGGGUGCGAGCGUUGUUCGGAAUUACUGGGUGUAAAGGGUUCGUAGGCGGUGUGGCAAGUCGGGAGUGAAAUCCCUGGGCUUAACCCAGGGGCUGCUUCCGAAACUGCUGUGCUUGAGUGUGGGAGAGGCGCGUGGAAUUGCAGGUGUAGCGGUGAAAUGCGUAGAUAUCUGCAGGAACACCCGUGGCGAAAGCGGCGCGCUGGACCACUACUGACGCUGGGGAACGAAAGCUAGGGGAGCAAACAGG